This is a non-coding RNA of Pelobates cultripes (western spadefoot toad), 501 nucleotides long. The record is from the annotation of a GenBank genome assembly. Lineage: Eukaryota; Metazoa; Chordata; Amphibia; Anura; Pelobatidae.
UGUAAACCCACAAUGGUGGACGGAUCGACCAGAUAGGACAUGGCAAGGUGUCCGGGCGGGAGCUCCGUUCCCAUCAGCCAGUGUAAACCCACAAUGGUGCACUGAUCGACCAGAUAGGACAUGGCAAGAUGUCAUGGCGGGAGCUCCGUUCCCAUCAGCCAGUGUAAACCCACAAUGGUGCACUGAUCGACCAGAUAGGACAUGGCAAGGUGUCCGGGCGGGAGCUCCGUUCCCAUCAGCCAGUGUAAACCCACAAUGGUGGACGGAUCGACAAGAUAGGACAUGGCAAGGUGUCAUGGCGGGAGCUCCGUUUCCAUCAGCCAGUGUCAACCCACAAUGGUGGACGGAUCGACCAGAUAGGACAUGGCAAGGUGUCAUGGCGGUAUCUCCGUUCCCAUCAGCCAGUGUGUGACGAAACGCCUUUUGUCACCGGAUUUUCCCCUGGCUGUUGGAGGAGCCUGAUUGCCAGCCUCUUGCCUCAUGACUAUGGCCCUGGGUUAU